RNAcentral lists this ribosomal RNA (301 nucleotides) under uncultured bacterium. RNAcentral describes it as "partial 16S ribosomal RNA". It matches the Rfam family "Bacterial small subunit ribosomal RNA", at positions 509 to 808 of the family's 1533-position model. The record is from RNAcentral.
CAGUAGCCGCGGUAAUACGAAGGGUGCAAGCGUUACUCGGAAUUACUGGGCGUAAAGCGUGCGUAGGUGGUGGUUAAGUCCGUUGUGAAAGCCCUGGGCUCAACCUGGGAAUUGCAGUGGAUACUGGGUCACUAGAGUGUGGUAGAGGAUAGUGGAAUUUCCGGUGUAGCAGUGAAAUGCGUAGAGAUCGGAAGGAACAUCUGUGGCGAAGGCGACUAUCUGGGCCAACACUGACACUGAGGCACGAAAGCGUGGGGAGCAAACAGGAUUAGAUACCCCAGUAGUCCCUGUCUCUUAUACC